RNAcentral lists this ribosomal RNA (564 nucleotides) under uncultured marine eukaryote. RNAcentral describes it as "SSU rRNA". It matches the Rfam family "Eukaryotic small subunit ribosomal RNA", at positions 4 to 565 of the family's 1831-position model. The record is from RNAcentral.
CUGGUUGAUCCUGCCAGUAGUCAUAUGCUUGUCUCAAAGAUUAAGCCAUGCAUGUCUAAGUAUAAGCACCCUUAUACUUCGAAACUGCGUACAGCUCAUUAUAUCAGCAAUUAUUUAUUUGAAGGUCACCAAAUUACAUGGAUAACCGUGGUAAUUCUAGAGCUAAUACAUGCGAAAAGCCUCGGCGCAAGUCGAGGUGUAUUUAUUAGAUAAAGAAUCAAUAGCGGUUUCGCCGUUUUUAUUGAUGAAUCAUAAUAACUGUUCGAAUCGCACGGUCUUGCACUGGCGAUAGUUCAUUCAAAUUCUGCCCUGUCAGCUUUCGACGGUAGUGUAGUGGACUACCGUGGCGUUAACGGGUAACGGAGAAUUAGGGUUCGAUUCCGGAGAGGGAGCCUGAGAAACGGCUACCACAUCCAAGGAAGGCAGCAGGCGCGUAAAUUACCCAAUCUCAAUACGAGGAGGUAGUGACAAUAAAUAACAAUGUGUGACGGGGGUUCCCGUGGCCAAUUGGAAUGAGAACAAUUUAAACCCCUUAACGAUUAUCGACUGGAGGGCAAGUCUGGU